AACAUCAGGAAGAACUGAAGCUGUUUUGUGAAACAGACAAGAACGUGAUUUGUGUGAUCUGUCGAGAUGCGCGGGAACACAAGUCUCACAGCUUUACACCGAUAGAAGAAGCUGUUGAAAUCUACAAGGAUCAGGUGCAAUCUUCCUUCGAAUCUCUCACAAAAAAUAAAUCAGAGAUCGAGCAAAUGGAGCAGCAAGAGGAAGAGAAGAUUUCUGUUGUUCUGGAAGAGUCACACAACCUUCAGUCACAGAUCACAUCCCAGUUUGCUGAACUGCACCAGAUUUUGACUGAGAAAGAGUGGUGUGUACUCGCAGAUAUCCGAGAAGAAGAGGUGAAAAUUCGGAACGCAAUGGAGAAAAGUCUUCAAGAGAUUCAAGCAAAUUUAAACUCCAUACAAAGGG
Molecule: long non-coding RNA, 402 nt
Organism: Amblyraja radiata (thorny skate)
Lineage: Eukaryota; Metazoa; Chordata; Chondrichthyes; Rajiformes; Rajidae
Exons: 3
Source: RefSeq, a predicted model, not a curated record